AGAGUUUGAUCCUGGCUCAGAAUCAACGCUGGCGGCGUGCCUAACACAUGCAAGUCGAACGAGAAAGUGGAGCAAUCCAUGAGUAAAGUGGCGACCGGGUGAGUAACACGUGACUAACCUGCCCUUGAGUGGGGGAUAACCUCGGGAAACCGGGGCUAAUACCGCAUAACAUCGCAAGAUCAAAGGAGCAAUCCGCUGAAGGAGGGGGUCGCGGCUGAUUAGCUAGUUGGUGAGGUAACGGCUCACCAAGGCGAAGAUCAGUAGCCGGCCUGAGAGGGCGCACGGCCACACUGGAACUGAAACACGGUCCAGACUCCUACGGGAGGCAGCAGUGGGGAAUUUUGCGCAAUGGGGGAAACCCUGACGCAGCAACGCCGCGUGGAGGAUGAAGUCCCUUGGGAUGUAAACUCCUUUCGAUCGGGACGAUUAUGACGGUACCGGAAGAAGAAGCACCGGCUAACUCUGUGCCAGCAGCCGCGGUAAUACAGAGGGUGCAAGCGUUGUUCGGAAUUAUUGGGCGUAAAGGGCGCGUAGGCGGUGCGGUAAGACUGUGGUGAAAUCUCCGGGCUCAACUCGGAAAUUGCCGCGGUGACUGCCGUGCUCGAGUGUGGGAGAGGUGAGUGGAAUUCCCGGUGUAGCGGUGAAAUGCGUAGAUAUCGGGAGGAACACCUGUGGCGAAAGCGGCUCACUGGACCACAACUGACGCUGAGGCGCGAAAGCUAUGGGAGCAAACAGGAUUAGAUACCCUGGUAGUCCUAGCCCUAAACGAUGAUUGCUUGGUGUGUCGGGUACCCAAUCCCGACGUGCCGCAGCUAACGCGAUAAGCAAUCCGCCUGGGGAGUACGUCGCAAGACUGAAACUCAAAGGAUUGACGGGGCCCGCACAAGCGGUGGAGCAUGGUGGUUCAAUUCGACGCACGCGAAGAAACUCAUCCUGGGCUCGAAAUGAAUUG
RNAcentral lists this ribosomal RNA (952 nucleotides) under uncultured bacterium. RNAcentral describes it as "bacterial SSU rRNA". It matches the Rfam family "Bacterial small subunit ribosomal RNA", at positions 8 to 993 of the family's 1533-position model. The record is from RNAcentral.